GACGAACGCUGGCGGCGUGCCUAAUACAUGCAAGUCGAGCGAGACUCUUCGGAGUCUAGCGGCGGACGGGUGAGUAACACGUGGGCAACCUGCCUGUAAGACUGGGAUAACACCGGGAAACCGGUGCUAAUACCGGAUAAUCCUUUUCCUCUCAUGAGGAAAAGCUGAAAGUCAGUUUCGGCUGACACUUACAGAUGGGCCCGCGGCGCAUUAGCUAGUUGGUGAGGUAACGGCUCAACAAGGCGACGAUGCGUAGCCGACCUGAGCGGGUGGUCGGCCACACUGGGACUGAGACACGGCCCAGACUCCUACGGGAGGCAGCAGUAGGGAAUCUUCCACAAUGGACGAAAGUCUGAUGGAGCAACGCCGCGUGAGCGAUGAAGGCCUUCGGGUCGUAAAGCUCUGUUGUUAGGGAAGAACAAGUACCGGAGUAACUGCCGGUACCUUGACGGUACCUAACCAGAAAGCCACGGCUAACUACGUGCCAGCCGCCGCAGUAA
RNAcentral lists this ribosomal RNA (500 nucleotides) under uncultured bacterium. Its description in RNAcentral is "partial 16S ribosomal RNA". It matches the Rfam family "Bacterial small subunit ribosomal RNA", at positions 28 to 523 of the family's 1533-position model. The record is from RNAcentral.